Molecule: ribosomal RNA, 244 nt
Filed under: uncultured fungus
Lineage: Eukaryota; Fungi
Description: partial small subunit ribosomal RNA
Rfam family: Eukaryotic small subunit ribosomal RNA
Source: RNAcentral
CGAUAACGAACGAGACCUUAACCUGCUAAAUAGCCAGGCCGCUUUUGCGGGUCUCCGGCUUCUUAGAGGGACUAUCGGAGAUCAAGUCGAUGGAAGUUUGAGGCAAUAACAGGUCUGUGAUGCCCUUAGAUGUUCUGGGCCGCACGCGCGCUACACUGACAGAGCCAACGAGUACAUCGCCUUGGCCGGAAGGUCUGGGUAAUCUUGUUAAACUCUGUCGUGCUGGGGAUAGAGCAUUGCAAUG